RNAcentral lists this ribosomal RNA (1866 nucleotides) under human gut metagenome. RNAcentral describes it as "bacterial LSU rRNA". The stretch from base 995 to 1866 matches the Rfam family "Bacterial large subunit ribosomal RNA". The record is from RNAcentral.
CUCUUCCGAUCUGGCUCCUCGUCUGUAUUUUUUCCUGUUAAACGUAACAAGGUAUCGGUCGAAACGGAGAGUAACUUCACGAAAGGCGCCAUGAUAAUGGCAAGAAUGUUGAUAGGAGAUGCUAUACGACAGGCCACUCCUUCCGGGUUCAUCUGACCCAAACGCUUAGGCACCAGUUCUCCUAAUACAAUGGAGAAAUAGGUCACCACGACCACCACCAACAAUAGCCCUAAACCACGAGCGGUAUUGGCUUCUACACCGAAACUUUGCGUUAACCAAUCCGCAACGGGCGUUGCCAGCGCCGCUUCGCCCACAAUACCCGAGAGAAUACCGAUGGAAGUAAUGCCUACUUGAAUGGCAGACAAGGCUCGCGUCGGCUCUUCAUUGAGCUUUAAUGCGACUUUUGCCCCGUUAUUACCUUCAUCAAUUUUGACUUGAAGGCGCGCUUUACGGCUUGUCACAAGCGCAAUCUCGCUCAUGGCAAAAGCACCGUUUAAAAGAAUUAGCACCAAAAGACAAAGAACAUUAAACCAAUUGUCCAUUUUUUAAAUGCACCGAUAAUUACAAAAGAAUUUUGAUUAAGCCCAAAAUAGCAGCUUCUACAGUUUGGGCACGGACAGAUGAACGGUCGCCACUGAACUGAAAACGUUCCACAAGCGCUCCCGCUCCACGCCGUUGCCAAGCGAUGAAAACGGUACCCACUGGCUUGCCCGGCUCUUCGCCGCCAGGUCCGGCAAUACCUGUCACGGCCACGGCAACAUCGGCUCGCGAGUGAGUAAGUGCGCCCGCGGUCAUUUCAGAAGCGCACUCUUUGCUAACCACGCCGUAUUGUUCGACCGUUUGCUGGCUGACUCCCAACAUUGUUUUCUUCGCUUCAACACUAUAAGUGACAAAGCCGCAAUCAAACCACGCACUGGAUCCUGCAACAUCCGUUAUCGCCGCAGCAAUCCCACCUGCGGUACACGAUUCUGCUGUCACGAUCAGCGCUCCUUGAGAACGAGCUACUUCACCCAAUCGUUUUGUUAGUUCAGCAACGCUGUCCAUACUCUAGAAAAAAUCCUUCAAACUAAUUAGUGCAAAAAGCACUGGGAGACUAGGAAGCAGAGGCGCCAGCCUUUGUGGAGUCAACCUUGGGAUACCGCUCUUAAAGUAUUGGAAUUCUAACCUGCGGCCAUGAAUCUGGCCGGGGGACAUUGUUAGGCGGGCAGUUUGACUGGGGCGGUCGCCUCCAAAAGAGUAACGGAGGCGCUCAAAGGUUCGCUCAGCACGGACGGAAACCGUGCCUUAGAGUGUAAACGCAUAAGCGAGCCUAACUGCGAGACCGACGGGUCGAGCAGUAACGAAAGUUGGAGUUAGUGAUCCGGCGGUAUGAGAGUGGAAUUGCCGUCGCUCAACGGAUAAAAGCUACCCUGGGGAUAACAGGCUGAUCUCCCCCAAGAGUCCACAUCGACGGGGAGGUUUGGCACCUCGAUGUCGGCUCAUCACAUCCUGGGGCUGUAUUCGGUCCCAAGGGUUCGGCUGUUCGCCGAUUAAAGUGGUACGCGAGCUGGGUUCAGAACGUCGUGAGACAGUUCGGUCCCUAUCUGUCGCGGGCGCAGGAUAUUUGAAGGGCUCUGUCCUUAGUACGAGAGGACCGGGAUGGACGUACCUCUGGUGCACCAGUUGUCACGCCAGUGGCACAGCUGGGCAGCUAAGUACGGUGCGGAUAAACGCUGAAAGCAUCUAAGCGUGAAGCCGACCCUAAGAUAAGAUAUCCCACUGAGUAAUCAGGUAAGGUCCCAGGAAGACUACCUGGUAGAUAGGCUGCAUGUGUAAGAGCAGUGAUGUUUUUAGCUUGGCAGUACUAAUAGACCGAGGGCUUGACCU